AGUGAACGCUGGCGGUAGGCCUAACACAUGCAAGUCGAACGGCAGCACAGUAAGAGCUUGCUCUUACGGGUGGCGAGUGGCGGACAGGUGUGGAAUACAUCGGAAUCUACUUUUUCGUGGGGGAUAACGUAGGGAAACUUACGCUAAUACCGCAUACGACCUACGGGUGAAAGCAGGGGAUCUUCGGACCUUGCGCGAUUGAAUGAGCCGAUGUCGGAUUAGCUAGUUGGCGGGGUAAAGGCCCACCAAGGCGACGAUCCGUAGCUGGUCUGAGAGGAUGAUCAGCCACACUGGAACUGAGACACGGUCCAGACUCCUACGGGAGGCAGCAGUGGGGAAUAUUGGACAAUGGGCGCAAGCCUGAUCCAGCCAUACCGCGUGGGUGAAGAAGGCCUUCGGGUUGUAAAGCCCUUUUGUUGGGAAAGAAAAGCAGCAGGUUAAUACCCCGCUGUUCUGACGGUACCCAAAGAAUAAGCACCGGCUAACUUCGUG
RNAcentral lists this ribosomal RNA (492 nucleotides) under uncultured bacterium. RNAcentral describes it as "partial 16S ribosomal RNA". It matches the Rfam family "Bacterial small subunit ribosomal RNA", at positions 29 to 507 of the family's 1533-position model. The record is from RNAcentral.